This 609-nucleotide ribosomal RNA is filed under the name Shigella sonnei. Its description in RNAcentral is "bacterial SSU rRNA". It matches the Rfam family "Bacterial small subunit ribosomal RNA", at positions 55 to 653 of the family's 1533-position model. Lineage: Bacteria; Pseudomonadati; Pseudomonadota; Gammaproteobacteria; Enterobacterales; Enterobacteriaceae. The record is from RNAcentral.
AUGCAAGUCGAACGGUAACAGGAAACAGACUGCUGUUUCGCUGACGAGUGGCGGACGGGUGAGUAAUGUCUGGGAAACUGCCUGAUGGAGGGGGAUAACCACUGGAAACGGUAGCUAAUACCGCAUAACGUCGCAAGACCAAAGAGGGGGACCUUCGGGCCUCUUGCCAUCGGAUGUGCCCAGAUGGGAUUAGCUAGUAGGUGGGGUAACGGCUCACCUAGGCGACGAUCCCUAGCUGGUCUGAGAGGAUGACCAGCCACACUGGAACUGAGACACGGUCCAGACUCCUACGGGAGGCAGCAGUGGGGAAUAUUGCACAAUGGGCGCAAGCCUGAUGCAGCCAUGCCGCGUGUAUGAAGAAGGCCUUCGGGUUGUAAAGUACUUUCAGCGGGGAGGAAGGGAGUAAAGUUAAUACCUUUGCUCAUUGACGUUACCCGCAGAAGAAGCACCGGCUAACUCCGUGCCAGCAGCCGCGGUAAUACGGAGGGUGCAAGCGUUAAUCGGAAUUACUGGGCGUAAAGCGCACGCAGGCGGUUUGUUAAGUCAGAUGUGAAAUCCCCGGGCUCAACCUGGGAACUGCAUCUGAUACUGGCAAGCUUGAGUCUCGUA